GACGAACGCUGGCGGCGUGCUUAGCACAUGCAAGUCGAACGGAAAGGCCCUGCUUUUGUGGGGUGCUCGAGUGGCGAACGGGUGAGUAACACGUGAGUAACCUGCCCUUGACUUUGGGAUAACUUCAGGAAACUGGGGCUAAUACCGGAUAGGAGCUCCUGCUGCAUGGUGGGGGUUGGAAAGUUUCGGCGGUUGGGGAUGGACUCGCGGCUUAUCAGCUUGUUGGUGGGGUAGUGGCUUACCAAGGCUUUGACGGGUAGCCGGCCUGAGAGGGUGACCGGCCACAUUGGGACUGAGAUACGGCCCAGACUCCUACGGGAGGCAGCAGUGAGGAAUAUUGCACAAUGGGCGGAAGCCUGAUGCAGCAACGCCGCGUGCGGGAUGACGGCCUUCGGGUUGUAAACCGCUUUCGCCUGUGACGAAGCGUGAGUGACGGUAAUGGGUAAAGAAGCACCGGCUAACUACGU
Molecule: ribosomal RNA, 467 nt
Filed under: uncultured bacterium
Lineage: Bacteria
Description: partial 16S ribosomal RNA
Rfam family: Bacterial small subunit ribosomal RNA
Source: RNAcentral